CUGGUGUGCUCAGAGCAGACGUUGGUUAGGCCAGUACUCGGCUGUUUAUACCACACCACAGAGAAAUCACAUGCUGCCUUGUCACUUGCAGGGGACCUUAAGCUAUUGGCCUUUCUGUCGUAGAAGGCAGCAAACAU
Bombina bombina (fire-bellied toad) is the source of this 137-nucleotide small nucleolar RNA. RefSeq annotates it as small nucleolar RNA SNORA11. The transcript has a single exon. The record is from RefSeq and is a predicted model, not a curated record. Lineage: Eukaryota; Metazoa; Chordata; Amphibia; Anura; Bombinatoridae.